Molecule: ribosomal RNA, 391 nt
Filed under: uncultured bacterium
Lineage: Bacteria
Description: bacterial SSU rRNA
Rfam family: Bacterial small subunit ribosomal RNA
Source: RNAcentral
GACGAACGCUGGCGGCGUGCUUAACACAUGCAAGUCGAGCGGUAAGGCCCUUUCGGGGGUACACGAGCGGCGAACGGGUGAGUAACACGUGGGUGACCUGCCCUCAGCUCUGGGAUAAGCCUGGGAAACCGGGUCUAAUACCGGAUAUGACUCCAUGACGCAUGUUGUGGGGUGGAAAGCCUUGUGCGGCUGAGGAUGGGCCCGCGGCCUAUCAGCUUGUUGGUGGGGUGAUGGCCUACCAAGGCGACGACGGGUAGCCGGCCUGAAAGGGCGACCGGCCACACUGGGACUGAGACACGGCCCAGACUCCUACGGGAGGCAGCAGUGGGGAAUCUUGCGCAAUGGGCGAAAGCCUGACGCAGCGACGCCGCGUGAGGGAUGACGGCCUCGG